RNAcentral lists this ribosomal RNA (606 nucleotides) under Bacillus subtilis. Its description in RNAcentral is "bacterial SSU rRNA". It matches the Rfam family "Bacterial small subunit ribosomal RNA", at positions 747 to 1353 of the family's 1533-position model. Lineage: Bacteria; Bacillati; Bacillota; Bacilli; Caryophanales; Bacillaceae. The record is from RNAcentral.
UGAGGAGCGAAAGCGUGGGGAGCGAACAGGAUUAGAUACCCUGGUAGUCCACGCCGUAAACGAUGAGUGCUAAGUGUUAGGGGGUUUCCGCCCCUUAGUGCUGCAGCUAACGCAUUAAGCACUCCGCCUGGGGAGUACGGUCGCAAGACUGAAACUCAAAGGAAUUGACGGGGGCCCGCACAAGCGGUGGAGCAUGUGGUUUAAUUCGAAGCAACGCGAAGAACCUUACCAGGUCUUGACAUCCUCUGACAAUCCUAGAGAUAGGACGUCCCCUUCGGGGGCAGAGUGACAGGUGGUGCAUGGUUGUCGUCAGCUCGUGUCGUGAGAUGUUGGGUUAAGUCCCGCAACGAGCGCAACCCUUGAUCUUAGUUGCCAGCAUUCAGUUGGGCACUCUAAGGUGACUGCCGGUGACAAACCGGAGGAAGGUGGGGAUGACGUCAAAUCAUCAUGCCCCUUAUGACCUGGGCUACACACGUGCUACAAUGGNCAGAACAAAGGGCAGCGAAACCGCGAGGUUAAGCCAAUCCCACAAAUCUGUUCUCAGUUCGGAUCGCAGUCUGCAACUCGACUGCGUGAAGCUGGAAUCGCUAGUAAUCGCGGAUCAGC